RNAcentral lists this ribosomal RNA (878 nucleotides) under marine metagenome. RNAcentral describes it as "bacterial SSU rRNA". It matches the Rfam family "Bacterial small subunit ribosomal RNA", at positions 63 to 925 of the family's 1533-position model. The record is from RNAcentral.
CAAGGAGAACGUUUUCUUCGGAAAACUAUUAAACUGGCGAACGGGUUAGUAACGCGUAGGCAACCUACCUUUUAGAUUGGGACAACCCCGUGAAAAUGGGGCUAAUACCAUAUAAUAUAUUAAAUCUCUGGAUUUAAUAUCAAAGCAGGCUUCGGCUUGCACUAUUAGAUGGGCCUGCGUCUGAUUAGUUUGUUGGUAAGGUAAUGGCUUACCAAGGCUACGAUCAGUAGGUGGCUCGAGAGGGUGAUCACCAACACUGGGACUGAGAUACGGCCCAGACUCCUACGGGAGGCAGCAGUGAGGAAUUUUGCGCAAUGGCCGAAAGGUUGACGCAGCAACGCCGCGUGAUUGAAGAAGGUUUGAGGACUGUAAAGAUCUGUUAUAAAGGAAGAAAAGCGAUUAAUCUAACAAAUUAUUUGUUUGACGGUACUUUAUGAGAAAGCACCGGCUAACUUCGUGCCAGCAGCCGCGGUAAUACGAGGGGUGCAAGCGUUGUCCGGAUUUAUUGGGCGUAAAGAGCUCGUAGGUGGGUUUGUAAGUGAAAAUUGAAAUACAAUGGCUUAACCAUUGGCACGGUUUUCAUACUGCAAAUCUUGAGUUAUGUAGAGGUAAGUGGAAUUUCUGGUGUAGCGGUGAAAUGCGUAGAUAUCAGAAGGAACACCAAAGGCGAAGGCAACUUACUGGACAUAAACUGACACUGAGGAGCGAAAGCGUGGGUAGCAAACAGGAUUAGAGACCCUGGUAGUCCACGCCGUAAACGAUGAGUACUUGGUGAUGGGGGAUUCGACCCUUUCAUUGCCGGAGUUAACGCAUUAAGUACUCCGCCUGGGGACUACGACCGCAAGGUUGAAACUCAAAGGAAUUGACGGGGACCCGCA